This 247-nucleotide ribosomal RNA is filed under the name uncultured bacterium. RNAcentral describes it as "partial 16S ribosomal RNA". It matches the Rfam family "Bacterial small subunit ribosomal RNA", at positions 523 to 769 of the family's 1533-position model. The record is from RNAcentral.
AUACGUAGGACCCGAGCGUUGUCCGGAUUUACUGGGCGUAAAGCGCGUGUAGGCGGGUAGGAGAGUUGGAUGUGAAAGCUCCCGGCUUAACUGGGAGAGGUCGUUCAAAACUUCCCACCUAGAGUAUGGUAGAGGAAAAUGGAAUUCCGGGUGUAGUGGUGAAAUGCGUAGAUAUCCGGAGGAACACCAGUGGCGAAAGCGAUUUUCUGGACCAAUACUGACGCUCAGACGCGAAAGCUAGGGUAGC